This 914-nucleotide long non-coding RNA is filed under the name Homo sapiens (human). Its description in RNAcentral is "HSALNT0341905". Lineage: Eukaryota; Metazoa; Chordata; Mammalia; Primates; Hominidae. The record is from RNAcentral.
UUCUGUGUAUACAGUGAUUAAGCACAUAGGUUCUGGAGCCAGUCUGUUUCUUUCAAAAUCACCUCAUUGCUUUUGAAGAAUCAGGGAAACCCCCAUGAGACUACAGGUGUGAAGCAAGAUAGAAGCAUCAGUGCAAAAGAGUCUCUUCCAGGGUAAAGGAUGGACUUUGGUGUGUUCUCUUUUGUACAUGCCUCAGUGAGAUGCACAAAGCACAACUUGGUCAGAUUCACAGAGGCUCUUGUCUCCUCUAACUCUUCCUGACUCAGUACUGCAUUUCCAAAUAAAGCCACUCACAAUCUUUAAUCAGGCUGUAAAUUUUAAGAAAUCUGGACCAAGACAGUUUGCUCCAAGAGUAUCCCACAAAUGCAGAUCUUCAGAGUGAGAUUUUAUUAUUGGAUUGCUCACCUGUCUGUUGCAUCUUCAACCUUUCUGGACUACAGCACCUGCCAACUGACCCCCACAUCAUGGCUCCAACGCUGGCUUCAUCACAUAUCUUCUCUCUCAGUCCCUUUGGCUCUCAGGGUGCAAUAGCUUAACAAAAUUGCUGAUCUAGGUGCCUCAGCAUUGUUUCUUUGUCAUAGUCUCUGUAUUAUCUUAUUUUGAGCCAUUCUUUUCCUGCAAAGAUCCUAACUGAAUGAGAUAACUACUUCAUAAGCUAUUUGUAAGGUUUAAAUAAAUUAAUGCAUAUUUAAUACAUGAAGCUGUGCCUAGUUUAUAGUAAUUACUCAAAAAUGUUACUUAUUUCUCCAUCCAAAACAUACAAACAAUAGUAUAUCCUUCAUGAGGACUUCUUGUGGACUAAAAAGGCAGUAUCUUUAAAGUGUUUUGCAGUCUCUGACAAAACCACACUAUUACCCUUACUCAAGGUUUUAAUUGAUUGUAUGUACACAAGGUUAGUCUAUAUGAGCUUUGGA